RNAcentral lists this ribosomal RNA (484 nucleotides) under uncultured bacterium. RNAcentral describes it as "partial 16S ribosomal RNA". It matches the Rfam family "Bacterial small subunit ribosomal RNA", at positions 29 to 507 of the family's 1533-position model. The record is from RNAcentral.
AAUGAACGCUGGCGGCAUGCCUAACACAUGCAAGUCGAGCGAAUGAAGGGGGCUUGCUCCUGGAUUCAGCGGUGGACGGGUGGGUAAUGCCUAGGAAUCUGCCAUGAAUUGCGGAAUGAGGUCCGGAAACGGGCGCUAAUCCCGCAUACGACCUUAUAUAGAAAUUGGGGGAUCCUCCGUCCUAACGCUAUCUGAUGAGCCUAGGUUGCAGUAGCUAGUUGGGGCCGUAAAGGGAUAAAGAGGCGACGAAGCGUAACUGGUAUGAGAGGAAGAUCCGUCACACGGUAAGUGAGACACGGCCCAGACUCCUACGGGAGGCAGCAGUCGGGAAUAUUAGGCGAUGGGGGAGAGGCGGAUACAGCAAUGCCGCGGGAGUGAUGAAGGUCUUAGGAUUGUAAAGCACUGUAAGUUGGGAGGAAGGAAAGUAAGUUUAUCCGUUGCGAUUUUGACGGUACCGACAGAAUAAGCACCGGCUAACUUCGUG